This is a long non-coding RNA of Haliotis rubra (blacklip abalone), 96 nucleotides long. RefSeq lists it as uncharacterized. Lineage: Eukaryota; Metazoa; Mollusca; Gastropoda; Lepetellida; Haliotidae. The record is from RefSeq and is a predicted model, not a curated record. The transcript is spliced from 4 exons.
GCAUUGAACUAGAAAAUAUAUCUCCUUCCCGCCUUCUUCCAGCUCCUCCUUGGCAAUCAGUGAGGCCACAUUUGACUUAACACUAACCAACAUUUA